RNAcentral lists this transfer RNA (84 nucleotides) under Longispora fulva. RNAcentral describes it as "tRNA-Ser". It matches the Rfam family "tRNA". Rfam says of the family: Transfer RNA (tRNA) molecules are approximately 80 nucleotides in length. The record is from RNAcentral. Lineage: Bacteria; Bacillati; Actinomycetota; Actinomycetes; Micromonosporales; Micromonosporaceae.
GGAGGGCUCGCCUAGUGGCCGAUGGCGCUGGUCUUGAAAACCGGUAAGGGAAACCUUCGUGGGUUCGAAUCCCACGCCCUCCGC